UACGGGGGGGGCAAGCGUUGUUCGGAAUUACUGGGCGUAAAGCGCGCGUAGGCGGCUCUUCAAGUCGAGUGUGAAAGCUCCAGGCUUAACCUGGGAAUUGCGCUCGAUACUGUUGAGCUAGAGUGUGGAAGGGGCUACUGGAAUUCCGUGUGUAGCGGUGAAAUGCGUAGAUAUACGGAGGAACACCAGCGGCGAAGACGGGUUGCUGGGCUGACACGGACGCUGAGGCGCGAAAGCCAGGGAGCAAACGGG
Molecule: ribosomal RNA, 252 nt
Filed under: uncultured bacterium
Lineage: Bacteria
Description: partial 16S ribosomal RNA
Rfam family: Bacterial small subunit ribosomal RNA
Source: RNAcentral